Scylla paramamosain (green mud crab) is the source of this 2644-nucleotide long non-coding RNA. RefSeq lists it as uncharacterized. Lineage: Eukaryota; Metazoa; Arthropoda; Malacostraca; Decapoda; Portunidae. The transcript is spliced from 2 exons. The record is from RefSeq and is a predicted model, not a curated record.
UGUGGCGGUAAUGAGGCGUAGUGAACCGUUAGUUAACCUCUGCUCAAACCCGCCUCUUGACUGAAAUAACUAUUCUAUUUAUUUGUAUUGCAGUUAUUCACGCUAGUAGCACAGUGACGGCGGUAAUGAGCAGGCAGAGUGGACAGUUACGCCGGUGUUCACUUAUAUCUCGACCUUUUCUAUAAUUUAAUUUUCUAUAAUAAUCUAUAAGUCCUUUUCUAUCAUUUACACGUAUCCCAGUUAUUCACGGUGGCAGCAGAGUGGUUAGGGUUAAGGGAAGGAGCGUGAACAGUUAACCAGACUGACAGUCAGGCCGCAUUACAAAAGUCCCAAGGUCGUGAAGAUACCAAUAAUAGGUCUGAUUCUGGCCUAGGUUGGACGUUAUGUAAGAGUGAACGUGCUGUGUAACGGCGGGCUGUAUGGUGACACCCGUGCCAUCCCGACUACGGCAGGUGUGUGUGUGUGUGUGUGUGUGUGUGUGUGUGUGUGUGUGUGUGUGUGUGGUAGCAGUAGCAGUCACAUGCCGCCCGCUGCGUGACUUUCGCUCUCUGAUAACGUUAUCGAUCAGUGUUCAUGUUGCAUAUUAAUCUGAUUGCUUUGCCCGGGAGCAUUCACUUUCCCAUAGCACUCAGGCGCAGUCACACGCACGCCGCGCCAAGCAAGCGGAGCAGUUAGCACGUUCACGCCCCUUUGAUUUCCAGACGCCCCUGCGUGCCCGGCGCUAAGAGGACUGUAGUACUCUGGGCAGCACCACAGCCACCACACGUACAGUGUCUUGGUCACCACCCACUGCCGCCUGCCCGAGCCUGAAGGAGCGAGGCCACGCACUGAAGGAGCUGAAGCAGUGACGGCAACAUUCCUGCCUGAGCCUCACCAACACAACCAUCCACAGUCCUGCUCGCGAAGUGAAGGGCCACCAGCCACUCCUACACCAGUCUGAAGGAGCAGCGCGCCCGCACUCCUGCAGGAACUUGAAGCACCAGCAGCAGCAGCAAUAGUAGUCACACUCCUACUCGAGUGUGAAGGAGCAGCCUUUGUGUGGAGCAGCAGCAGCAGCCACACUCCUGCCUGAGGACUCUUGCACCACCCCUCCAGCCCGGCCUGAGGCAGCAACCAGGCCUCUGCCACCAGUACCAGUACCGAGAAGAAGCACAGGCCGCACUCAGUCUGCUGUCGGUCUGUACGCCACAGGCGACCUUGGGCCUUCCACGCGAGCCAGACACACUAGCCAUGGAGCGCCACGAACCGCCCCGCACCCCCAGCCUGGCCAUCAGCGUCUCCCCCGCCAGAUGGAGCCUCUCCUCCGCCUGGGCGUCGUCCAGCAGAAGGAAGGCGUGCCACGCGGCCGCCACGCAAGGCACCACGCCGCCCACACCGCCCUCCACGCCCGUGCGGGGAGGAAACUGGUGGUUGCAACAGCUGUCGAAGACCCCCGGGAGGAGUGCGAGUGUCUUUGUGUCAUCUCUUAAGUGUUGCAACAGGCCGCCCUGUGUUGCGGCGCCUUACGCUAACACGCUCGGGAUGCGAGUGUCCCGGGAAGUAGCCCGCGGUGCUACGGUGCCACGGUGCCAGGAAGGAGAGUCCCGCCCGUGAAUUGCCGCGUGGUGCUGGGUGAACCAAUCGGUGCUCUGCCCUCGUGCAGCGGCGACUUAAGGCUCGUGAUGGGGAGGUCCGGCUGAGGAGUCUUGUGUAUGCUACACGUGUGGCCGAGGCGGUGACGGCCGCUGUUGUACGGAGAUGGGCAGCAGCCGUGUAUGCGAGUGUGAGUGUGCGGUGAGCCAAGGGAUCACGAGGGUAAGCAGACGUGGGGACUCGUCAUGAGAUUAUUAUUGUAGUUUAGAAACCUACGAAUGAUGUAUUUACUUGUCAAUGCAACUCUGUACUGUUUUAAACAUCCGUAGUGGUGUGUUUGUUUUAUCACGACCCAGCUCUCGUUAGUAAUGGUUCAGAGUGUGUGUGUGUGUGUGUGUGUGUGUGUGUGUGUGUUUAGAUUCCUCACUGUUGUUGCUCAAGUUAAGGUGAGAAGUUAGGAAGAUUAGGAAGGGCACAACAUUGGCUUUCACCCCAAACAUAUUCCACUGAUCAUAUUUAUUUUCGCUAUUGAUGGUGAGAGGGAAAGGGAUGACAGAUAGAUAGACAGUUAAGGGCGAGAUUCCUGUAAUGUACAAGAAGUCGAAAUAAGUCAAGUGAAGGAGAGAAGUUGACAAGGUGGAUGUUGAAGCACGUUCACGACUUGUAUGUAUGUAUGAAUGUAUGUGUGUAUGAGACAGAGGGAGAGGGAGAGAUUACUAGGAUGGAACAAGUUAAGAUCCAUCCCUUAGUAAUUAGUCUCUUUCUCUCCCACUCCUGUAUGUAUGAGUGAAUGAGAGAGGGGGAGAGGGAGAGAUUAUUGUGGUGGAACAAGUUAAAAUUCAUCCCUUAAUCUGUCUCUCCAAAUCAUGAUGUUCCUACAAGAGGUGGUGUUUGACAGAUGAAGAGGACGUUUUGGGAUGGUUCUCCUGACACACGAGGCAGGAGCGAGGUGCUUCCUUCCCUCGUGGCUGUGUGAUGUGUAUAUUAUUAUUCACGAACCAUUUCUCUUUUAUACUUUUUAACGUAGCGUGUUUUGUGUACCAUUGUUGAUUAAAGAGAACAGUGAUAAUGA